UGUAUGCGUCGUAAAAACUACUAACAAUGAAAUGAUAUACAAUUCUGAAAAACAAUGUAAAUCAGAUUGUAGAGCUUAUCCAACGAAAGAGUUUCAUAAUUGUUGUGAAAAUAAUUGCAAACCUCUAGAGGCUGGCCGUUAUAAAAGAUUCGAGGGAUAAAUUUUAAUGCCAACUACAACUACUUGAAAUUAUAUUUUAUGAAAAUAUUUUACUUGUAACGUAUAUUUUGAAUGUUGUUACUAAGAUGAAAAUCAAUAGAUUUACUUUGUAAGAAUUGAAUAAAACAAGUAAAACUUAGAAAUCCUUAUCCCGUAUAAACUUC
This is a long non-coding RNA of Ceratosolen solmsi marchali, 323 nucleotides long. RefSeq lists it as uncharacterized. The transcript has 4 exons. Lineage: Eukaryota; Metazoa; Arthropoda; Insecta; Hymenoptera; Agaonidae. The record is from RefSeq and is a predicted model, not a curated record.